UUUGAGCAAGUAAAUAAAUCACUUGUUUCUUUUGCAUAACCAAUGCAUUCCAUAUGAAACCAUCUAUUUGGAAUGCAGUUAGCACAUUUUAUCUAUAAAACAGUAGUGGUUUUUCAGUUUACAUAUUUACAAUGGAGGAAAUAUUGGUUAAUUGUGUUUUAUGUAAAAAAUUGACCGAUAAUGAUAAAUAUCAUUUUGGAUGUUAUACAUUAUGGGAAAAUGAUCUUCUCAAAAUUUGCAACACAUGUGCAGUGACUCAUCAUGUUAUAGUGUGAUGUUUUCUAAAUGACUUUAUGUGAUAGUGUGAACGUUUUCUGACUGGCAGAAGGAUAUUCAGUUUUCUUUUUGCCCAACCUUGUCAGUCUGGUGCUAAAAAG
Hydra vulgaris (swiftwater hydra) is the source of this 377-nucleotide long non-coding RNA. RefSeq lists it as uncharacterized. The record is from RefSeq and is a predicted model, not a curated record. NCBI's taxonomy places the organism in Eukaryota, Metazoa, Cnidaria, Hydrozoa, Anthoathecata, Hydridae.